AAGAUUGUACUUCACAGAUUUCUAUAAGAGUUGAUCUUAUUCUCCCUGCUUAAUAUGAGAAUUGAUGUAAUCACGGCGAGGGCAACAGCCCUCUUUCUUGAGCGUGAGAACGACAUGAAUUCCCCAGGUAUUCGUGAUCCUUCCCAUCGAUGAUCGCUCGUUCAUUACAUUUGUUAGUUAUCGAUAAUGAGAGGAAGAGCUUUCUGAGCGAU
RNAcentral lists this small nucleolar RNA (212 nucleotides) under Trachymyrmex septentrionalis. RNAcentral's name for it is "Small nucleolar RNA U3". It matches the Rfam family "Small nucleolar RNA U3". Rfam says of the family: Small nucleolar RNAs (snoRNAs) are involved in the processing and modification of rRNA in the nucleolus. There are two main classes of snoRNAs: the box C/D class, and the box H/ACA class. The record is from Rfam by way of RNAcentral. Lineage: Eukaryota; Metazoa; Arthropoda; Insecta; Hymenoptera; Formicidae.